RNAcentral lists this ribosomal RNA (253 nucleotides) under uncultured bacterium. RNAcentral's name for it is "partial 16S ribosomal RNA". It matches the Rfam family "Bacterial small subunit ribosomal RNA", at positions 524 to 776 of the family's 1533-position model. The record is from RNAcentral.
UACGGAGGGGGCUAGCGUUGUCCGAAGUUACUGGGCGUAAAGCGCGCGUAGGCGGGUUGGUAAGUCCGCUGUGAAAGCCCGGAGCUCAACUCCGGAGGGUCGGUGGAUACUGCCAGUCUUGAAGGUGCUAGGGGGAGAUGGAAUUACCGGUGUAGCGGUGAAAUGCGUAGAUAUCGGUAGGAACACCAGUGGCGAAGGCGGUCUCCUGGGGCAUUCUUGACGCUGAGGCGCGAAAGCCAGGGGAGCAAACGGG